GAUGAACGCUGGCGGCGUGCCUAAUACAUGCAAGUCGAGCGAACAGACGAGGAACUUGCUCCUCUGACGUUAACUGCGGACGGGUGAGUAACACGUGGAUAACCUACCUAUUAGACUGGGAUACCUUCGGGAAAGCGUAGCUAAUGGCAGAUAAUAUUUAUAACCUCAUGGAUCAUUAGUGAGAGACGUUUUUGCUUUCACGUAUAGAUGGAUCCGCGCAGCAUUAGCUAGUUUGUAAUGUAACGUCUUACCAAGGCAACGAUGCGUAGCCGACAUGAAAGGGAGAACGGCCAAACUGGAAGUGAGACACGGUCCAGACUCCUACGCGAGGCAGCAGUAGGGAAUCUUACGCAAUGGGCGAAAGCCUGACGGAGCACAGUCGAGUGAGUGAUGAUGGUCUUAGGAUCGUAAAACGAUGUAAUUAGGGAAGAACAAAUGUGUAAGUAAAUAUGAACGUAUUGACGGUACCUAAGCAGAAAGCCACGGCUAACUACGUG
This 497-nucleotide ribosomal RNA is filed under the name uncultured bacterium. RNAcentral's name for it is "partial 16S ribosomal RNA". It matches the Rfam family "Bacterial small subunit ribosomal RNA", at positions 28 to 507 of the family's 1533-position model. The record is from RNAcentral.